RNAcentral lists this ribosomal RNA (701 nucleotides) under Pseudomonadota bacterium. RNAcentral describes it as "bacterial SSU rRNA". It matches the Rfam family "Bacterial small subunit ribosomal RNA", at positions 28 to 723 of the family's 1533-position model. The record is from RNAcentral. Lineage: Bacteria; Pseudomonadati; Pseudomonadota.
AUUGAACGCUGGCGGAAUGCUUUACACAUGCAAGUCGAACGGCAGCACGGGGGCAACCCUGGUGGCGAGUGGCGAACGGGUGAGUAAUAUAUCGGAACGUGCCCAGUCGUGGGGGAUAACGUAGCGAAAGUUACGCUAAUACCGCAUACGAUCUACGGAUGAAAGCGGGGGAUCGCAAGACCUCGCGCGAUUGGAGCGGCCGAUAUCAGAUUAGGUAGUUGGUGGGGUAAAGGCUCACCAAGCCAACGAUCUGUAGCUGGUCUGAGAGGACGACCAGCCACACUGGGACUGAGACACGGCCCAGACUCCUACGGGAGGCAGCAGUGGGGAAUUUUGGACAAUGGGCGCAAGCCUGAUCCAGCCAUUCCGCGUGCAGGACGAAGGCCUUCGGGUUGUAAACUGCUUUUGUACGGAACGAAAAAGCCUUGGCUAAUACCCAGGGUCCAUGACGGUACCGUAAGAAUAAGCACCGGCUAACUACGUGCCAGCAGCCGCGGUAAUACGUAGGGUGCAAGCGUUAAUCGGAAUUACUGGGCGUAAAGCGUGCGCAGGCGGUUAUAUAAGACAGAUGUGAAAUCCCCGGGCUCAACCUGGGAACUGCAUUUGUGACUGUAUAGCUAGAGUGCGGCAGAGGGGGAUGGAAUUCCGCGUGUAGCAGUGAAAUGCGUAGAUAUGCGGAGGAACACCGAUGGCGGAAGGCA